Molecule: ribosomal RNA, 492 nt
Filed under: uncultured bacterium
Lineage: Bacteria
Description: partial 16S ribosomal RNA
Rfam family: Bacterial small subunit ribosomal RNA
Source: RNAcentral
AGUGAACGCUGGCGGUAGGCCUAACACAUGCAAGUCGAACGGCAGCACAGUAAGAGCUUGCUCUUACGGGUGGCGAGUGGCGGACGGGUGAGGAAUACAUCGGAAUCUACUUUUUCGUGGGGGAUAACGUAGGGAAACUUACGCUAAUACCGCAUACGACCUACGGGUGAAAGCAGGGGAUCUUCGGACCUUGCGCGAUUGAAUGAGCCGAUGUCGGAUUAGCUAGUUGGCGGGGUAAAGGCCCACCAAGGCGACGAUCCGUAGGUGGUCUGAGAGGAUGAACAGCCACCCUGGAAGAGAGAAACAGUCGAGACACCUAGGGGAGGCAGCAGUGGGGAAUAUUGGAGGAGGGGCGCAUGCCGGAUCUAGCAAUACCGCGUGGAGGAAGAAGGCCUUAGGCUUGUAGAGCCAUGUAGUUGGGAAGGAAAAAAAGCAGGUUAAUCCCCGGCUGUUCUGACGGUACCCAAAGAAUAAGCCCCGGCUAACUUCGUG